UUGCUCUGUUUAAGGCUAGUGGGCAAUACGAAGAUUGAAAGAGGCAGAUUUGGCUCAGAGAACUAAAGAUCUUUCUAUUAAGUAGUGUUGAAAUAUACUCCAUGUCCUUACCCUGUCUCUCUCCCCUGUCCCCACUGGUGCCAUAGGGCUAGAGGGACAGGAUCCAGAACUAGACUUUUCUUUCAAUUCCCCAGCUCCUCUCUGUCCAGCUGUGUGACCUCGUGCAAGUUAUUUAACCCCUGUCUGUUUCCACCGAUUCCUGCAUAACGUGAGAGCCAUUACAAUGAUUCAGGAAGUUAGUAUAUACAACAUCCUAAAAACAGUGCUGAUUUGUAGUCAGUACUCAAGGUACUUAGUCCAGUGUCUGUCACGUGGUAUGUAUGAAAUAAGUGUCAUUAUCAUAAUAAUGAUCAUCAUUACAUUGUUCCUGCUAUUACCACUGAGAUGCUGGAUAGGCAUGUAUGAGGAUUUUGUUAAAGGAAUUCCUACUUUUCAUGGUAGGCUGAGCUAAUAGAUGCUUAGAUGCUUUCCAGUUCCAACAAUCAGUGUUCUCUUUAUUUAGUGCCUGAGGCCUCAACCCUGGGACUCAAGCGCUGUUGAAAUCCGAGAUGAAACAGCACAAUAUUUUAAUCAUUAAUGUUAGCUAGGCUACACCAUGAGGGGAAAGAGAGUUUUGUUUCUACUUGAUCUUUCCUGAUCUUGGGUCUCGGGCUUACUCACCAUGAAGACUUGUGUGGAGGUGGACUGGUAGUGGUGUUGCUUUCAUGUUUUUCUUCGUAGGAGACACUGAGAGGAGAGAUCUUUGCUUUGUGAUGGGGAAUGAGUGACAUCAAAAACAUUAAGCAAGGGCAUGAUUCUUCCCGUGAGCUGUACUCACCUAUUAGGCAACGCUGAAGAACUGGACCGCUGGGGGGGGGGUGAUGGGAGAUCGGGUCUGGGUCUCAUGGACGUUGUGGGACUGUGCCCUGAGCCGCCAUGAUUGCCGCUGCCUGUCAGGAGACCAACAAAGGUAGAGUUAGCUACAGCGGACGUCCACUGGCACUUGCCCGUCUCCCCGUUGUAACUCUCGUCCGACAUCGUUGUCUUUGUUUACUUGGUCUCUGACGUGUGUGUUUCUAAGCCUGUUUAUCUUUACUGGUAUCUGAUUACCUCGCCUUGUUUUUCUCCAUUUCUGGCUGGACUGACAGGCCCCACGUCUAGGAGUCAUAAACACAAUACAUGGUCACAAAAAGAGCACCAGAAGAGACCCGGGGGACCACUUGGGGCAACAUAUUCCCUUUCUAGAUGAGAAAACCAAGGCUCAGAUAAAAAUAGAACCUCAUGAGAUCCUCAUGGCUUCCAGGCCAGUGCUCUUUUCUAAAAAAAAAAAAAAUUUUUUUUUUAAAUGUUUAUUUAGUUUUGAGACAGAGGGAGACAGAGUGCGAGUGGGGGAGGGGCACAGAGAGAGACACACACAGAAUCUGAGACAGGCUCCAGGCUCUGAGCCAUCAGCACAGAGCCCGAUGCGGGGCUCGAACCCAUGAACCGCGAGAUCAUGACGUGAGCCGAAGUCGGACGCUCAACCGACUGAGCCAUCCAGGCGCCCCUCUAAAAAAAUUUUUUUAACGUUUAUUUAUUAUUGAGAGACAGAGAGCCACAGAGAGUGAGAAGGGGAGGGGCAGACCCAGAAUCUGAGGCAGGCUCCAGGCUCUGAGCUGUCAGCACAGAGCCCGACGUGGGGCUCGAACCCACGACCUGUGAGAUCAUGACCUGAGCUGAAGUCAGUUGCCCAACCAACUGAGCCACCCAGGCACCCCAACCAGUGCUCUUUCCAUUACGCCAUGCUGAUCUUUGUCUAUAAGCAUGAUCUGGUACGGAGAUGGGUUUGGAGGCAUGAGCCCCACAUUCACGCCUGAAAUGCAAAAUUUUUCGCACUAUUUCCACAUAAGAAUAUGCUAUAACUGGAAUGAUAGCCUCUAUUAUAUUGAACAUUCACAGAUGACAUUAAUAAAUAUUAAAUAUUAAAGCCUAACCCAUUUUUAAAACCUUGUUUGGGGAUGUCUUUAUUCUUACACAUAUUGGAAUCCCAGAAUGUGACGUUGGUCUCAACCUUUCUGUAACUCCAAAAGCCUGGGGGGAAAGAAAGGAGGCGACGACCCCAGCCAUCCCCAAGAAGUUAAGGUGGAGGUGAAAUGCAGAGCUUUCUGAAAAAGUCCUUUAUGAGGAGAAUAAAGAAUUCUGCUGCCAAACAAGUUGAAGAGAUAGAAUUUGUUUAUCACGGUGGAGGCUUCAAGAUCACACGUCUCCAUUAGAGUCACGUGCGUCUUAAAUACCCACCAUUAUCAAGAGAAAAAUUAAGCCAAGUGUCUGAUAAGAAGAUGUGCUACACAGUCCAACAAUCUUCCGUGUUGUCAAGAUGUCAGACGCAGGCAGCAAAAACAACUGAAUGAAAUAACUGAAUUUCCACCAUGGACGAAAGAGGGCUUCGAAGUUGGAGCAAAAGUAUUUGUGGAGUGUGGGGAGAACCCAGAGCUUCUGGUAUUUACGGU
Acinonyx jubatus (cheetah) is the source of this 2528-nucleotide long non-coding RNA. RefSeq lists it as uncharacterized. The transcript is spliced from 3 exons. Lineage: Eukaryota; Metazoa; Chordata; Mammalia; Carnivora; Felidae. The record is from RefSeq and is a predicted model, not a curated record.